GACGAACGCUGGCGGCGUGCUUAACACAUGCAAGUCGAACGGAAAGGCCCUGCUUUUUUGGGGUGCUCGAUUGGCUAACGGGUGUGUAACACGUGAGUAUCCUGCCCUUGACUUUGGGAUAUCUUCAUGAAACUGGGUCUAAUACCGGAUAGGAGCUCCUGCUUCAUUGUUUUGGUUGGAAAUUUUCGGCGUUUGGGGAUGGACUCGCUGCUUAUCAGCUUGUUUGUGGGGUAGUGGCUUACCAAGGCUUUGACGGGUAGCCGGCAUGAGAGGGUGACCGGAGACAUUGGGACUGAGAUACGGCACAGAAUCAAAAGGGAGGCAGCAGUGGGGAAGAGUGCAAAAUGGGAGGAAGCCUGAUGCAGAAACGCCGCGUGCGGGAUGACGGCAUUAGGGUUGUAAAAAGAUGUAGCAUGUGACGAAGAGUGAGUGACGGUAAUGGGUAAAGAAGCAACGGCUAACUACGUG
This 468-nucleotide ribosomal RNA is filed under the name uncultured bacterium. Its description in RNAcentral is "partial 16S ribosomal RNA". It matches the Rfam family "Bacterial small subunit ribosomal RNA", at positions 28 to 507 of the family's 1533-position model. The record is from RNAcentral.